UUUGAAUCCUGUUAACUCAAUCCAGGCAGUGACAUUAAAAAUAUAGCUUUCAAGAAAUCUUGUACAAUCUUGAAAACUUGUACAAAUAUAAUAUAGAAGGAGGGAAACACCUCUGUCACUGUUGUUUGUUUUCACACGGUUAGACUAGGUUAUAAGCUAAUACAGCAGCAGGGGUGUCAACCAGGAGAACUGAGGGUGAAACUGAAGUUGAUAUAUGCAGACGUGAACCCCUAAGACGGACACAACACCUGCCUGGUAGCUCUGAGCUCAGCACCUCCCUGGCACUAACUGCCUCAGACAGCCCCAGACAGAGGAAAGUCCUGGGUAACUGCUCUACUGGCAGUGCUGAUGUCAAUGAGAGCAGUGACUAAUCGAACAUCUGAGCUUUCUCCAUUUGAAAUGUUGACAGGACGACCUAUGAGAACAUCGGGUGACCUUUGUGUAAUGGGAGGGUAGUGGCAUAUGAUGGGUAAAUUGUUAAAAUAUUGCAAAGCUUGUCUCUCUAGGUCCAACUGGGAAGGUGAUUUCAAAGCUGAAGCUGCCAAGGUGCCAUGCUAAUGGUUGUAGCUUACUUUAGAGCAGAUAAACAUACUCUUUAAUCCAUUCCUUACAUGUUUUUUUUAUUUUGGACACCUGUCAAACUCUGCAGAUUAUCACUUUUACUACAGCCCAAUCCACACUUGGAGCAACUGCUGUUUUGGAAGAGGUUUAGUAAACAGUCAAUUCUUAUAUCAUACUGUGCAUGUUAACUGCUGGGCAGCAGCAGACAUACUGUAUACAGCAGUGAGGUGAUUUCAGUUGGACAGCACCACAUUUAGGAUACUCUGGAAAAGCGUUUGAGCUUUUGUGGUAAUGUUCAGUUUUUGUGCAUAUUUGAAUCCAAGCUUACAGUCACUGCCUGUUGUCAGGCUGGCAGAAAGUGACCCCACAUGGGGCAGUACGUCUGGACACCGUCCCUGACAGGAGCAUGACAGUUGGCAUUUCUGUGGUCCUGUAAUUGCUCCUUCAGAGGUACUGUGGGAGUCGUCUCUGCUCUCCAGGAUGAAAGCAGCACACUGCUGAGUGCAUUUAUGGAAAAGCUUACGCUUCAUUCACACUGAGCAAGAAAUCAUACACAUGCGGGAUUAUAUAUACGCCUUGGGGAGAUAUGAAUUAUUCAUUGUGAGAUGCAAGAUUUGUUGGACACCCAGCUCAUUUCAAGCAUACAUUCAUCAUAAAAGACCAAAUGUGCAAACUUUGAACUUAUAUUUGGCAGAGCAAGAAUCCUCCAACGACAAAGACAAUCUUGUUCAUUUUUUUAUUGUUUUUCAUUUUAUUGUUUACCUCUACUGAGGGCAGCAGAAAAAAUGCAGCUAAGAACUAAUGAAGCUUUCUGUAAUUAGAGGUUUGAGACUAUUAUUGGUACUUUGACAUUCCAAAGAUGUUAUUUGUUAUU
This is a long non-coding RNA of Thunnus maccoyii (southern bluefin tuna), 1435 nucleotides long. RefSeq lists it as uncharacterized. The transcript is spliced from 3 exons. NCBI's taxonomy places the organism in Eukaryota, Metazoa, Chordata, Actinopteri, Scombriformes, Scombridae. The record is from RefSeq and is a predicted model, not a curated record.